ACGCCACCCCGAUCGUUAUAGCGUUCCUGAGUUUGCAUUACUGGCUUUCAAAAUAGCGUAAAUGUCGCUGCUCAGUUCUCGUUUUAAAUCCGAUUCAUAAGCGAAAUCGAUUCUAUUCCGAUAUUAUUGCAUUAUCAAAUGUUGAUAUCCCAUGUCGAUUGGAAACGGAAAGCGGCUUCGUCGGUUAGGGAACGUAUUAAAAUUUUAAUCGCUAUGUUGGAAAACAACGCGUUUAUGGGUCAAUUGCAUUCAAUUUAAUAUCCUAUAUAGAAAAAUUUCUCGUAUGCGAACAGAUAAAAAGGCAUCCAUAUUUGCUAAUAAAAUUGCGGGACGUCUGUCAACAGCCGACGACACAAUUUCGUAAUUUCGGAUCGACGCAGCAAGAAGAAUAAAUCGAGCCUCUCACCGAUGGAUGAUAUUUAAACACGGAACGCAAUCGCGGUUACUCGACUAUUUGGCAGAAUGCAAACCAUUGACACACCAGCAACGGACAUUAAAAACAUCGAAAUAAUUUAACCAAAUGGAAAAUCUAUUCGAUUGACAAGCUUGCGUUAUG
This is a non-coding RNA of Megalopta genalis, 556 nucleotides long. The record is from RefSeq and is a predicted model, not a curated record. NCBI's taxonomy places the organism in Eukaryota, Metazoa, Arthropoda, Insecta, Hymenoptera, Halictidae.